GACGAACGCUGGCGGCGUGCUUAACACAUGCAAGUCGAACGGAAAGGCCCUGCUUUUGUGGGGUGCUCGACUGGCGAACGGGUGAGUAACACGUGAGUAACCUGUCCCUGACUUUGGGGUAUCUUCAGGAAAAUGGGGGUCUUACAGGAUAGGAGCUCCUGCUGCAUGGUGGGGGCGGGUAAGAUUCGGUGGUUGGGGGUGUACUCGCGGCUUAUCAGCUUGUUGGUGGGGUAGUGGCUUACCAAGGCUUUGACGGGUAGCCGGCCUGAGAGGGUGACCGGCCACAUUGGGACUGAGAUACGGCCCAGACUCCUACGGGAGGCAGCAGUGGGGAAUAUUGCACAAUGGGCGGAAGCCUGAUGCAGCAACGCCGCGUGCGGGAUGACGGCCUUCGGGUUGUAAACCGCUUUUGCCUGUGACGAAGCGAGAGUGACGGUAACGGGAGAAGAAGCACCGGCUAACUACGUG
Molecule: ribosomal RNA, 468 nt
Filed under: uncultured bacterium
Lineage: Bacteria
Description: partial 16S ribosomal RNA
Rfam family: Bacterial small subunit ribosomal RNA
Source: RNAcentral